Molecule: small RNA, 71 nt
Filed under: Meriones unguiculatus (Mongolian gerbil)
Lineage: Eukaryota; Metazoa; Chordata; Mammalia; Rodentia; Muridae
Description: Vertebrate telomerase RNA (ENSMUGG00000021072.1)
Source: RNAcentral
ACAGGAACGGAGCUGCUUCCCGCCUUCGGAGGCUUCCCUGAGCUGUGGGAAGAGCACCCGGAACCCGGUUC